RNAcentral lists this ribosomal RNA (361 nucleotides) under uncultured bacterium. RNAcentral describes it as "partial 16S ribosomal RNA". It matches the Rfam family "Bacterial small subunit ribosomal RNA", at positions 338 to 696 of the family's 1533-position model. The record is from RNAcentral.
CCUACGGGAGGCAGCAGUGAGGAAUAUUGGUCAAUGGACGGGAGUCUGAACCAGCCAAGCAGCGUGAAGGAUGACUGCCCUAUGGGUUGUAAACUUCUUUUAUAACGGAAUAAGACGAGGCACGUGUGCCUUUUUUCAUGUACUUUAUGAAUAAGGAUCGGCUAACUCCGUGCCAGCAGCCGCGGUAAUACGGAGGAUCCGAGCGUUAUCCGGAUUUAUUGGGUUUAAAGGGAGCGUAGAUGGGUUGUUAAGUCAGAUGUGAAAGUCUGCGGCUUAACCGUAGAAUUGCAAUUGAUACUGGUAGUCUUGAGUACAGUAGAGGUGGGCGGAAUUCGUGGUGUAGCGGUGAAAUGCAUAGAGA